AGUGAACGCUGGCGGUAGGCCUAACACAUGCAAGUCGAACGGCAGCAUAGUAAGUGCUUGCUCUUACGGGAGGCGAGUGGCGGAAGGGGGAGGUAUACAUCGGAAUCUACUUUUUCGCUGGGGAUAACGUAGGGAAACUUACGCUAAUACCGCAUACGACGUACGGGUGAAAGCAGGGGAUCUUCGGACCUUGUGCGAUUGAAUGAGCCGAUGUCGGAUUAGCUAGUUGGCGGGGUAGAGGCCCACCAAGGCGACGAUCCGUAGCGGGUCUGAGAGGAUCAUCAGCCAGACUGGAACUGAGACAGGGCCCCGACACCGACGGGAGGCAGCAGUGCGGAAUCUUGGACAAGGGGGGAAAGCGGGAUCCAGCGAAACCGCGUAGGUGAUGACGGAGUUAGGGUUGGAAAGUCAUGUUGUUGGGAAAGAAAAGCAGUAGGUUAAUACCCCACUGUUCUGACGGUACCCAAAGAAUAAGCCCCGGCUAACUUCGUG
RNAcentral lists this ribosomal RNA (492 nucleotides) under uncultured bacterium. Its description in RNAcentral is "partial 16S ribosomal RNA". It matches the Rfam family "Bacterial small subunit ribosomal RNA", at positions 29 to 507 of the family's 1533-position model. The record is from RNAcentral.